GUCGAACGGGCUCUUCGGAGCAAGUGGCGGACGGGUGAGUAACGCCCUGAGAAUGUGCCUUCAGGAUGGGGAUAACAAUAGGAAACUAAUGCUAAGACCCAAUGUGCCUUAAGUGGUGAAAAAUGAAAAUUGCCUGAAGAGGAGCUCGCGUCUGAUUAGCUAGUUGGGGUGGUAAAAGCGCACCAAGGCAACGAUCAGUAGCUGGUCUGAGAGGAUGAGCAGCCACACUGGGACUGAGACACGGCCCAGACUCCUACGGGAGGCAGCAGUGGGGAAUUUUCCGCAAUGGGCGAAAGCCUGACGGAGCAAUACCGCGUGAGGGAGGAAGGCUCUUGGGUUGUAAACCUCAAAACUUAGGGAAGAAAAAAAUGACGGUACCUAAUUUAAGCAUCGGCUAACUCCGUG
RNAcentral lists this ribosomal RNA (405 nucleotides) under uncultured bacterium. Its description in RNAcentral is "bacterial SSU rRNA". It matches the Rfam family "Bacterial small subunit ribosomal RNA", at positions 61 to 507 of the family's 1533-position model. The record is from RNAcentral.